This 443-nucleotide ribosomal RNA is filed under the name uncultured bacterium. RNAcentral's name for it is "partial 16S ribosomal RNA". It matches the Rfam family "Bacterial small subunit ribosomal RNA", at positions 338 to 795 of the family's 1533-position model. The record is from RNAcentral.
CCUACGGGGGGCAGCAGUGGGGAAUAUUGGACAAUGGGGGUAACCCUGAUCCAGCGACGCCGCGUGAGUGAAGAAGUAUUUCGGUAUUUAAAGCUCUAUCAGCAGGGAAGAAAGAAAUGACGGUACCUGACUAAGAAGCCUCGGCUAACUACGUGCCAGCAGCCGCGGCAAUACGUAGGGGGCAAGCGUUAUCCGGAUUUACUGGGUGUAAAGGGAGCGUAGACGGCGAUGCAAGUCUGAAGUGAAAGGCGGGGGCCCAACCCCUGGACUGCUUUGGAAACUGUAUGGCUGGAGUGCAGGGGAGGUAAGUGGAAUUCCUAGUGUAGCGGUGAAAUGCGUAGAUAUUAGGAGGAACACCAGUGGCGAAGGCGGCUUACUGGACUGUAACUGACGUUGAGGCUCGAAAGCGUGGGGAGCAAACAGGAUUAGAUACCCCAGUAGUC